RNAcentral lists this ribosomal RNA (501 nucleotides) under uncultured bacterium. RNAcentral's name for it is "partial 16S ribosomal RNA". It matches the Rfam family "Bacterial small subunit ribosomal RNA", at positions 30 to 523 of the family's 1533-position model. The record is from RNAcentral.
AUUGAACGCUGGCGGCAGGCUUAACACAUGCAAGUCGAGCGGGGGAAGGUAGCUUGCUACCGGACCUAGCGGCGGACGGGUGAGUAAUGCUUAGGAAUCUGCCUAUUAGUGGGGGACAACAUCUCGAAAGGAAUGCUAAUACCGCAUACGUCCUAUGGGAGAAAGCAGGGGAUCUUCGGACCUUGCGCUAAUAGAUGAGCCUAAGUCGGAUUAGCUAGUUGGUGGGGUAAAGGCCUACCAAGGCGAGGAUCUGUAGCGGGUCUGAGAGGAUGAUACGACACACUGGGAAUGAGGCACGGCCCAGAAUACUACGGGAGGCAGCAGUGGGGAAUAUUGGAGAAUGGGGGGAAGCCUGAUCAAGCCAUGCCGCGUGUGUGAUGAAGGCCUUAUGGUUGUAAAGCACUUUAAGCGAGGAGGAGGCUACUUUAGUUAAUACCUAGAGAUAGUGGACGUUACUCGCAGAAUAAGCACCGGCUAACUCUGUGCCAGCCGCCGCCGUAA